ACCAUGGGAGUGGGUUGCAAAAGAAGUAGGUAGCUUAACCUUCGGGAGGGCGCUUACCACUUUGUGAUUCAUGACUGGGGUGAAGUCGUAACAAGGUAACCGUAGGGGAACCUGCGGUUGGAUCACCUCCUUACCUGAAAGAAGC
RNAcentral lists this ribosomal RNA (145 nucleotides) under Salmonella enterica subsp. enterica serovar Havana. RNAcentral's name for it is "partial 16S ribosomal RNA". It matches the Rfam family "Bacterial small subunit ribosomal RNA", at positions 1401 to 1533 of the family's 1533-position model. Lineage: Bacteria; Pseudomonadati; Pseudomonadota; Gammaproteobacteria; Enterobacterales; Enterobacteriaceae. The record is from RNAcentral.